CUUAGGAAGCCACCAGUGUUGCAGAGUGGGGUCCUCGGACACCUGCAAGUGAGACGCCGGCUCCCCGUGCGGAUGGUCCCAUGCUCUGCUGUGCCUCCUCAGGCUGCUUCCUGCCCACCCUGGUCCUGCCGCCUCCGUCUUCCGUCUGGGACAGGAGACCUCCGUGUGGGAACACACCAGGGACUUCUCUGGCUCCCACGCUUCCUGGGGAGAACCCAGGGGCACAGAGAGGUUGGGUGCUCCUGAUCUCGGGGGAGGGAGGUCACAGAGGGACAGCUGAGCCUUGGGGUCCAGUGAGCCUCCUGCGGCUCCCGCGUGGGGAGUGGUCCUCCCCAGGCAGCGCCAGGCUCGCAGGCAAGGAGCUGCUGUCCCUCCCGUGGCAAAGCCGGGCAGAGAGCCAACUUUUGAGGAAGAGCUUCACAGUUCCUGGAGCCAGGAGGGGACAGGGAGGGGGACGCGGGGGAGGAGGGUGACAGCUUCCCAUCCAUCCGUCAGCCUCGACAGGCUGCUGAAAGGAAGGGGAGGGAGCAGGGGCGGCUGCCAGGAGGCCCGGG
This 554-nucleotide long non-coding RNA is filed under the name Marmota monax (woodchuck). Lineage: Eukaryota; Metazoa; Chordata; Mammalia; Rodentia; Sciuridae. The record is from RNAcentral.